Molecule: RNA transcript, 2894 nt
Organism: Cynocephalus volans (Philippine flying lemur)
Lineage: Eukaryota; Metazoa; Chordata; Mammalia; Dermoptera; Cynocephalidae
Gene: SFXN2
Gene name: sideroflexin 2
Exons: 14
Source: RefSeq, a predicted model, not a curated record
CUGGGCCGCUGUACACCCUGGCCGGGCUUCCAACGCGGGCUACAUCUGGUGGCGAUUGUCUCAGUGCGUGCCUCCUGGGACCAGUUUUGUGUGUAAGCAGGAUGGAGGCUGACCUGUCUGGCUUUAACAUCGAUGCCCCCCGUUGGGACCAAUACACUUUCCUGGGACGGGUGAAACACUUCUUCAACAUCACAGACCCCCGCACUGUCUUUGUACCAGAGAGGCAGCUAGACUGGGCCAAGGUGACGGUGGAGAAGAGCAGGAUGGGGGUUGUGCCACCAGGCACCCAAGUGGAGCAGCUGCUGUAUGCCAAGAAGCUAUAUGACUCUGCCUUCCACCCUGACACUGGGGAGAAGAUGAACGUCAUUGGUCGGAUGUCCUUCCAGGUCCCUGGUGGCAUGAUCAUCACAGGCUUCAUGCUCCAGUUUUACAGGACGAUGCCGGCGGUGAUCUUCUGGCAGUGGGUGAACCAGUCCUUCAAUGCUUUAGUCAACUACACCAACAGGAAUGCAGCUUCCCCCACAUCAGUCAGGCAGAUGGCCCUUUCCUACUUCACAGCCACAACCACUGCGGUGGCCACUGCUGUAGGCAUGAACACGUUGACGAAGAGAGCUCCACCCUUGGUGGGCCGCUGGGUGCCCUUUGCCGCCGUGGCUGCAGCUAACUGUGUCAAUAUCCCAAUGAUGCGACAGCAGGAACUCAUCCAGGGCAUCUGCGUCAAGGACAAGAAUCACAAUGAUAUCGGUCAUUCCCGGAGAGCUGCAGCCAUAGGCAUCACCCAAGUGGUUAUUUCUCGGAUCACCAUGGCAGCUCCUGGCAUGAGUAUGCAGGUUGAGAAAUUUGGGAAGCUCCGUUCUGCUGGGACAUGGGAGAAGUUGGGGGAGGCUACUUCUACACGGUCUUCUGCUCUUCUCCCAAAUGACAAUCUUGUUGCCAGUCAUCAUGGAAAGGCUGGAGAAACUGCAUUUCAUGAAGAAAAUCAAGGUCCUGCAUGCCCCAUUGCAGGUCAUGCUGUCUGGGUGCUUUGGCCAAGCUCAGAAGACCUGUGGUUCAUCUGGAGAGCUCUUGCCCCGUCAUUUUUGGGGGCAGUAGGCUGGCGAGGCUCUGUAUACACAUCGGAAUGGAAAGCGGAAUGCUUGGGUGCUCUCCUGUCCUGGGGUCUCCCCUCUGACCUCGAGUCUGGAGCAGUUUUCAAGAAGAGACAAGAAUGAUGAGACAUAGCUUUGGCUGGGGCUGUCAAUGUUCCAGCCUCGCACAGGAGGAAAAUGCCACAAGUCAGCCUCAUCUUCAUGGUGCCAGUGGCAUGUGGGCUCUUCCCACAGGAAUGGUAUCAGCUAUUCAUUCCUCACUUUGUUUCAUUGAAUACCCUGUCACCACUCCAUCUGACCUGCCUGCCAUCCAGGAGAGAUGGUGGUGGCAGGAAGGACAUCAUUUGUCCAAGGACAAGCCCAUCAGCAUAAACUCUGGGCCUCUUAGCCUCAGUGAAUGGUGGACCAAAACAGAACUCCAAGGGGCAGGAGAAGUAGGAGAACGAAUGAGGUUGCUUCUUCUGAGUGGAUGAAUUGCCCGUGUCCUAUGUGGAACCAGAGCUCCAAGACACCAUCAAGGCCAAGUAUGGAGAACUUGUGCCUUAUGUCUACUUCAAUAAGGGUCUUUAAAUCUCCCACUCCAGCAAGGACCAGUAUAUACCCAUGUUUACCAGGUCCUCCUUAGCUGCUGUGCGCUCCUGUGCCCUCAUUCCUCUGCCAACAACUCUCAAAGGCCAGGAUGGAUUGAGGGUGGGGGUGGGAGGAUGCCUCAUGCUUCCACCCGGAAUCUGGUUUUUUGGAGUCUAGGGGAUGAAAGUGAAAAAGGAGAGCAAAGACCAAAGUCUGUCUGCUUCUUCCUUCACCGCUGUCCUUUGGAGAUCAGAAGCUGAGGCCCUCUCAGGCAGAAGUUGCUGGCGCCUGGGGGAGACAUGCAAACAAAUCAUUUGGAAAACUUAGGAAAAUUUUAGGAUUCUCGUUCUAGCCAGGAUUGGAGAAGAGCCCCUGGGACGAAGAGAAGCUCCUACUCCUCUUUCCUCUUCCCUUCUUCCUCCUCUCUCAAGUAGUGGAACCAUUUACGCAUGCAGUUCUAGCCUAACUCAGGAGGAGAAGGGGGAAGACGUCUGCGCCGCUCUGGAGACUCAUCUCCCUUCUUCCCCAUUUUCCUCUCCAUUGCCCCCUGGUUGGCAAGCUUUUUUGGGAGUGUAGCUAAACUUGAGUUUCUCAGGCACCCAAGAGUUAUUAGUGCUAAAAAGGAUACUAUGUGAGGCAGCAGAGUUUCAUGAUGCUUUAAGCUCCAUCUGUUGACAUAGACUUUACUGUGCCCUAAAAUCAUGUCUGAAUCUGUUCUUGGGAUCUCCUCUGUAAUUGUGGAAGUUCUCUUCCCCCCACUGCCUCACAUGUCUGUUUUAAAAGAUAAAUCCACUAACUGUGAGUAAAAAGGAUAUAUGUAAGCACUGACCACGUUUUUUUAAGACUAUACUUUUUUUUUUUAGUCAUUACACAAUAUAAACAUUUUUUGUGGCCAUUUACCAAUUUCUCCCUCCCCUUCCCUCCCUCUUUCCCACCUCUGGUGGUAAUCACACAUUUUAAUGGGUAUAGCUUCCUGGCUGCCUCCCUUCCUCAGUCCAUGAGGUUAAAUACCAAAAAAGACUGGUGUGUACUGAAUAGGAAAGGGAAACUAUUUGGACAUCUCUAAGAGAAGCCAACCAAGACCAAAGAACCGUAAAGGACACAACAAAGCAAAGCCACUUUCUUUCCCCAGCUUGGCUGCCCUAGGUGAUUUCUCAAGCUUCUCAGGGAACUGUUGUGGCUUACCUGGGGUCAACGUGUGUAUGAGUUUUGUCUGGUAGGAUUUUCUGACUCUGU